CGUUUUAAACAGCAGGGGGCACUGAAGCAGUAGCCUAUAUUCUGACCUCGCUUUACAGGCGCGAUAGCAGCGAACAAGCUGUAGCUUUUAACAGAAGCAAAAAUGGCGGCGGCAAGUGUAGAUGACGUUGAUAUUGAGGAUGCCCCAAACUCAUUCAAAUCGGACGUGUGGCGGCAUUUUGGCUUUCCGAAGACUAAAAAUGAAAAAGGUGAGGUGGUAACGGACAAAACAAAAACUGUGUGCAGAUACUGCAAGAAGAUGUUAAUAUACACCAAUAGCACAACAAACAUGAUGCAGCAUACAAACCGUCACCACAGUGAGAAGCUCCAGUCACCGCCGUCUGCACGUAAAAACCUGUUAGUGGGCCAAACCACACUGACCGGCGGAUUUGCAGCCCCACUUGCGGCGACGAGUGCGAGAGCCAAAGAGAUCACAAGGUGUAUCGGCGUUUUCAUGGCAAAAGAUAUGAGGCCAUUUUCUGUCGUAGAAAAUGAAGGAUUUAAGCUACUCGUCAACAAAUUGGAGCCCAAAUACACCAUCCCAUCACGCCCCCACUUUAGCCAGACUGUCAUGCCAGCGCUUUACAGGGAAACAAAAUCUAAGGUAAUUGAGACCCUCAGAAAAGCAUAUAUUGUAUCAAUUACAAUCGAUGGCUGGACCUCCAGGGCUACCCAGAGUUAUCUUACGGUCACAGCCCAUGUGAUAACCAGUGAGUGGGAGAUGGUUAAUUUUGUUCUCCAAACUCGCACAUUGUUCGAAACACACACCGGAGCUAAUAUUGCUGAAGUUUUAAAAUCAGCUGUGAGUGAAUGGGGGCUUCAAAAGGCCAACCAUGGAAUUGCUGUGGUCACGGACAACGCGAGGAAUAUGGAUGUUGCUGUCAGAGAGGCUGGGCUGGCCCCCCAUGUCAGGUGUUUUGCCCACACUUUGAACUUAGCCAUCCAAGCGGGUUUGAGUGUGCCCCGCGUGAGUCGUUUGUUGGGCAGAGUGAAGCGUAUUUCUGCCUUCUUUCACCGAAGCUCCACAGCCACAGCUGCGCUCGCAGCCAAACAGAUACUACUGGAGCUUCCACCGCAUAAGUUAAUCAUCGAUGUCGCUACGCGCUGGAACAGCAGUCUGGAUAUGAUCGAAUGCUAUCUCGAACAGCAAGCGGCUGUGACAGCAACUCUCCUGAGCAACGACGUUCGACGAAAUCUCCGUGACAUCGAUACCUUGGAUGGCUCAGACAUCCGUGAUGCGGAGGACAUUGUGAAGCUUCUAAAGCCACUCAAAACAGCCACCACUGUGCUGUGUGAUGAAAAAACCCCACUGUGUCUCUCAUUGUGCCCUUAAAGCAUAUGAUUGAGCAUAACAUGGCAUCCAACGAAGAAGAUUCCCCCACUGUGAGCAAUAUAAAGAGAGCUAUACUGAACAACCUUUACAACAGAUACACUUCAGAGUACAACCACCUGCUGGAGUGCACCGCAUUAGACCCCAGAUUCCGGGCUCUGCCUCAUCUAGAGAAAGACCAACGCGAUGAUGUAUUCCACAGACUGAAGGAGAAAGCUGUACUGAUGUUGCAGAACCAGGAUGAGGGCAAAGAAUGUGCCAGUGGUCACCCCCCUGCAGCAGAGCAGCCUCUUGACCAGACAGAAGGAGCAGAGCUGAAACAACCUCCUUCCAAGAAAACAGCAUUGGAAGAUCUCCUUGGAGGGACUUUUGAUGAACCAGUUGCACAGCACAUCAGUCCGAUUGAUGCAGAAAUGAUUAAGUACAGAGCUGAAACAUCCAUUUCCCUCAAUAGCUGUCCACUCAAGUGGUGGAAAGAGAAUGCUAGGCUAUACCCACUGCUAUCCAGUAUAGCAAAAGCAUAUCUCUCCACAGCAGCCAUCUCUGUCCCUAGUGAAAGGGUUUUUUCAUCAGCAGGGGACAUUGUGAAUGUGCAGAGAUCUCAGCUUCUGCCAGAAAAUGUGGAUAUGCUGAUAUUUCUUAAAAAAAACAUGUAAAAAAAAAAAAAAGAAAGAUUCUAAGCUAGGAAAGAGCACCGGCAAAGCCUUAGUUUGUUUAUAUGAAAAGAUUUAUUUUAUUUGUAUUAUUUAUUUUAUUUGGGAUUUGUUUUAAUAUUUCAAUUUAGUUUUGUUAUUUGACAAAGAUAUUUCAGUUUCAGAAAGAAAUGUGCAGCAUUUUGUCUGAGUGAGAAUAAAAUAAUAAAAGGAAACUUUUUCAUUUAUCUUUCUUAAAUCUCAUUUUGUACAAAAAAAUCGUGAUAAAAUCGUAUCGUGAAACCAGUAUCGUGAAUCGUAUCGCAUCGCGAGUUCAGUGAAUCGUUACAUGCCUAGUAAUGUCAGAAGGACUGUUUUGCCGGUCAAAUUAACUUUAAUGAGUGCAUAUUGAAAUAUUACACUGUUGGUUGGCAAAAAAUGCAUCUCAAAAUGCAUCAGAUUGAUGCUUUAAAAUCUGUAAUAUUUAAAAUAUCCUUCUCACCCUUUGCACCCCUGACCCAUUUUCAUGCCUGAACAGUACUAUUACACAUCUCAUAAAGAACGCAUGCUGAGUAUGCAGGUUAACAGUCUGGCAGACUCAUUCAGUAAGCCUUCUAAAUGACCACACAGUUAAAUGAAAACAUCUCAAAGAAAAACAAACAGUAUAUAGCCUUCAUAAAAGGAUAGGUUGGGGGGAGGGGUGCUGUCGCCGCAUCAUGGGUGCGCCGUAUAUUUUCCUGCUUUUUUGUCUUAUGCCAAUCACACCUAUG
Perca fluviatilis (European perch) is the source of this 2731-nucleotide RNA transcript. It is a transcript of the gene named E3 SUMO-protein ligase ZBED1-like, with no coding region annotated. The record is from RefSeq and is a predicted model, not a curated record. Lineage: Eukaryota; Metazoa; Chordata; Actinopteri; Perciformes; Percidae. The transcript has 2 exons.